RNAcentral lists this unclassified non-coding RNA (400 nucleotides) under uncultured fungus. RNAcentral describes it as "sequence contains ITS1". The stretch from base 1 to 100 matches the Rfam family "5.8S ribosomal RNA", at positions 50 to 154 of the family's 154-position model. Lineage: Eukaryota; Fungi. The record is from RNAcentral.
GAAAUGCGAUACGUCAUGCGAAUUGCAGAAACUUGUGAGUCAUCAAAAUUUUGAACGCAACUUGCACUUCCCUCUGGGGAGUAUGUCUGUUGGAGUGUCUGUUCAUCCCCACUUCUCACACUUGUUCUCUGAACAGGAGUGAUGAUAGCGCCGGCCGCUUGUCGCACGUCAGUUUAACGAUUGGCGACGGACAAGCGAGCCUAGAUGAGACACCACCGAUCAACCGAACUCGCCCCCGCUUCGGGACAGGCCGUCAAACAGCCAGUUCUCAAAAGCUCGGUCGACGCGACGUGAAAGCUGAUUAGUUUCGGCCCCCAUAACGCGUCUUCACACCAAACGAGCCGAAGAAGCCAAGGCAACCAAGAGUUCAUCCGACCGGACCUCCAAUCAGACAAGAUUA